Molecule: ribosomal RNA, 465 nt
Filed under: Vreelandella stevensii
Lineage: Bacteria; Pseudomonadati; Pseudomonadota; Gammaproteobacteria; Oceanospirillales; Halomonadaceae
Description: partial 16S ribosomal RNA
Rfam family: Bacterial small subunit ribosomal RNA
Source: RNAcentral
CCUACGGGUGGCAGCAGUGGGGAAUAUUGGACAAUGGGCGAAAGCCUGAUCCAGCCAUGCCGCGUGUGUGAAGAAGGCCUUCGGGUUGUAAAGCACUUUCAGUGGGGAAGAAAGCCUUGGGGCUAAUACCCACGAGGAAGGACAUCACCCACAGAAGAAGCACCGGCUAACUCCGUGCCAGCAGCCGCGGUAAUACGGAGGGUGCGAGCGUUAAUCGGAAUUACUGGGCGUAAAGCGCGCGUAGGCGGUCUGAUAAGCCGGUUGUGAAAGCCCCGGGCUCAACCUGGGAACGGCAUCCGGAACUGUCAGGCUAGAGUGCAGGAGAGGAAGGUAGAAUUCCCGGUGUAGCGGUGAAAUGCGUAGAGAUCGGGAGGAAUACCAGUGGCGAAGGCGGCCUUCUGGACUGACACUGACGCUGAGGUGCGAAAGCGUGGGUAGCAAACAGGAUUAGAUACCCCGGUAGUC